UCGAAGAGACUGCGCGCUUUUCGAGGCAAUUUUCCCGACCCUAUGCAGUUGGAAAAGUCGAACUAUCGGGUCCGUGUGCAGUGCUUGGAUAAAAGCUUCCCAAGUCCCCGAAAAAGCUCGGGAGGGAAAGCUCGAACCGCUUUCGCCGAUGCAACUUGCCAAGCUGCACCUACUCGUCCAAAAUGGCGGUGCUGUCGGCGGAAUGCCGAUAAAUCAAAGUUCCCCAUUUGAGAAAUGCCAAGUGCCCACCGCGGCAUAACACAGCAAAGGUCAAAAUAAUAGUAAAGUAAUCGGACGCUAAUGUUGCCCCUCGAACACCAAAAAAUCGCGUCGAAAGGCUGUUAAUGGGUUAUAUACCGACUCCAAAUUAGGAACUCCUUAAUAACCCACUGACUUCUCCGCUCAUGUAUGCAUUUCCCUGAACCAGUCCGCAGUCCUCAGUAAAAAGGAGUCUAACCGAACCACUCAACCCUCGAGGAAGAGUUAUUGUAACCCGAUCCCGUGUCGCUGGAUGUACAUAAAUACCAGUUUUAUACGAGUGUGGACUACUUGGAUGGAAGGAGGAGGGAGAUGUCCGGUGCUGACGUUUAUGAAAAGCCAUCGCAGCAUCAAAGCCAAUUAAGAUACCGGGGCACAUACAAGCGCUAAAGGAAUACGCGGCUAAUUUCUGCGACAAAGCCGACAAACGAUCGAGUCGAAUCGAGUCGAGUUGUCUUCUGGGGGCAAGAAGCAAGAAGCGGCACUUUUGUCGCAAACACAGGCCAUAAAAUUAAGAACUCUGAUUGGUAACAAAUGUUUUUGUUCAUUCGAGUGAUAAAAACGCAGCGAACCGAAAAGAUAUAAAGUUCUCUUUAGUGUCUGGCCAGCGCGGCGAUGAUAAAAUAUUUAAAUGAGCGCCGAAAUGGUAAGGUUCUCUCCUCCUUCCUUCGAUCGGAUCGUCUUGGAUCGAAUUGGACAUUUAGGAAGGAGAUGGGGUUCCGAAAAAACCUUAAUGGCCGCGCACGAAACAGUGGGCUUAAACAAGAAUCCAAGGCAAAAGUGUGAAACAGGGAACGGCAUAACGCCAAUAGCAUUCGUCGAUAACCACUGUGUGUUUUUCGAGUAAGUCGGUCGGCUGUCAUGAUUAAACAAAAGUCCCAAUGCCAGCUAGGAUAUUAAAUUACAACCAAAACGACACACAGAGGUAAGAGGUAGGCAAGGAAGGACCCAUUCCGAAUCAGGUUCCCUUUGGUUUCUGGCCGACAACCAACAACCAACGACGACAACGAUGGCCAAGCCCAAAAAGCAACGAAACGGCCACGACAAAAUCAUAAAAGGCAUAAACAGUUGUAAAGACCCAAAACCACAAAAGGGCGUAGAAUCAAAAUUGAGCACUAAAACGUUAUCGAGGUCGGCUGAGAUUAACUAGCCCUUUUGCUGUUGAAAAAAAGGGACAUCGAACAUCGAACAUUCAGAUGGGCAGGUAGUUCAUACUGAAGUAUCGAAUGCAUCUUAAAGAUACUUGUGCGACAUUACGAUCAUUACUCGGUGUAACAGAUACGCGGCUGCAGACAGGUCGACCUGUCGUGUAAUCCCGUCCCGCCCGGCAAUUAUAACCAUAUAUAGCCCCCGCUGGCGACGACGACCCACAGCCGAGCUAUUGUCCCAAAAAAUUGUCAUUCACAACUGUCUCGCCGAUAAGAAACAAUUAUCGAAGGAGGCAAAAGGACGAAAGGACUGCGAGGAGAAAUCCCAUUGAAUGGCGCCAGUUUCACAAUGAAUCUUGACCGAAGGGACAGGUCUCACGUUAAGAUUUCGUCAUGCCCUUUUUAAAAUGUAGGUUACAUAAAAAUUUUUAUGGGUUAUGGAUAGUGACAACGGCUACUUUUCAGAUCGAACAACGUGGGAAUGAGAUUAUAGCAGGGGUAUAUAAUUUUACAUGACUAGUUUAAGAUCAUUCUGGUUUUUAAAAGUCAUCUAGGAUUAAUUUCAUUGAGUACUUAGUUUAGGAAAGCGUUCGUGUUUGUAUUCUUUCAUCUUAUUUACCAAUAUUUAAACUAAAGAUUUCUGCUUUUUCUAAGGUUCUCAUAAUCAUAGAUCACUUUCUAAGUACCCUUUAUAUAUACACAAAAUGCAAUAAAACUAGUCAGCUCU
This is a long non-coding RNA of Drosophila ficusphila, 2133 nucleotides long. RefSeq lists it as uncharacterized. NCBI's taxonomy places the organism in Eukaryota, Metazoa, Arthropoda, Insecta, Diptera, Drosophilidae. The record is from RefSeq and is a predicted model, not a curated record. The transcript is spliced from 3 exons.